This 497-nucleotide ribosomal RNA is filed under the name uncultured bacterium. Its description in RNAcentral is "partial 16S ribosomal RNA". It matches the Rfam family "Bacterial small subunit ribosomal RNA", at positions 28 to 507 of the family's 1533-position model. The record is from RNAcentral.
GAUGAACGCUGGCGGCGUGCCUAAUACAUGCAAGUCGAGCGAACGGGCGAGAAGCUUGCGGCGCGGAUGUUAGCGGCAGACGGGUGAGUAACGCGUGUAUAACCUACCUAUAAUAGUGAGAUAACUUCGGGAAACCGGAGCUAAUACCGUAGGAUAUUUUGAACCGCAGGGUUCAAAAGUGAAAUACGGUCUUGGUGUCACGUAUAGAGGCAUAUGGGCUGCAUUAGCUGGUUGGUAAGGUAACGGGUUACCAAGGCAAGGAGGCAUAGCCGAACUGAGGGGGUGAUAGGCCACAUGGGAACGGAGCCACGGACAAGACGACUACGGGAGGCAGCAGUAGGGAACCGGCCGCAAUGGGGGAAAGCCUGACGGAGUAACGGCGCGCGAGUGAUGACGGUCUCCGGAUCGUAAAACUCUGUUAUUAGGGAAGAACAUAUGUGUAAGUAACUGUGCACAUCUUGACGGUAACUAAUCAGAAAGCCACGGCUAACUACGUG